Molecule: ribosomal RNA, 301 nt
Filed under: uncultured bacterium
Lineage: Bacteria
Description: partial 16S ribosomal RNA
Rfam family: Bacterial small subunit ribosomal RNA
Source: RNAcentral
CAGUAGCCGCGGUAAUACGAAGGGGGCUAGCGUUGCUCGGAAUGACUGGGCGUAAAGGGCGCGUAGGCGGCGAUCAAAGUCAGGCGUGAAAUUCCUGGGCUCAACCUGGGGGAUGCGCUUGAUACUUGGUUGCUUGAGUGGGGAAGAGGGUCGUGGAAUUCCCAGUGUAGAGGUGAAAUUCGUAGAUAUUGGGAAGAACACCGGUGGCGAAGGCGGCGACCUGGUCCUUGACUGACGCUGAGGCGCGAAAGCGUGGGGAGCAAACAGGAUUAGAUACCCCGGUAGUCCCUGUCUCUUAUAA